This 98-nucleotide transfer RNA is filed under the name Trichosporon asahii var. asahii CBS 8904. Its description in RNAcentral is "tRNA-Thr". Lineage: Eukaryota; Fungi; Basidiomycota; Tremellomycetes; Trichosporonales; Trichosporonaceae. The record is from RNAcentral.
GCCUUCUUAGUUCAGUGGCUAGAAUUUUCCACUAGUAGUUCGUGGCUCAGCGUCGCAUUGCUAUGGAACGGUCACCCGUUCGAUUCGGGUAGAAGGCA